GACGGAGGUGGCAAGCGUUGCUCGGAUUUAUUGGGUGUAAAGGGUCGGUAGGCGGUUUUGUAAGUGCCCGGUGAAAUCCCACGGCUUAACCGUGGAACGUUCGGGUAGACUGCAAGACUUGAGGACUGGAGGGGCAGGCGGAAUUCCCGGUGGAAGGGUGAAAUCUUUAGAGAUCGGGAGGAACACCAGUGGCGAAGGCGGCCUGCUGGACAGUCCCUGACGCUGAGCGACGAAAGCGUGGGGAGCAAACAGGAUUAG
RNAcentral lists this ribosomal RNA (258 nucleotides) under uncultured bacterium. Its description in RNAcentral is "partial 16S ribosomal RNA". It matches the Rfam family "Bacterial small subunit ribosomal RNA", at positions 524 to 781 of the family's 1533-position model. The record is from RNAcentral.